UGAUUAGCUCAGUUGGUAGAGCAGCUGACUCUUAAUCAGCGGGUCGUAGGUUCGAUCCCUACAUCA
RNAcentral lists this transfer RNA (66 nucleotides) under Ochrobactrum quorumnocens. It matches the Rfam family "tRNA". Rfam says of the family: Transfer RNA (tRNA) molecules are approximately 80 nucleotides in length. Their secondary structure includes four short double-helical elements and three loops (D, anti-codon, and T loops). Lineage: Bacteria; Pseudomonadati; Pseudomonadota; Alphaproteobacteria; Hyphomicrobiales; Brucellaceae. The record is from RNAcentral. RNAcentral also lists the same sequence under 7 other names.